This 253-nucleotide ribosomal RNA is filed under the name uncultured bacterium. Its description in RNAcentral is "partial 16S ribosomal RNA". It matches the Rfam family "Bacterial small subunit ribosomal RNA", at positions 524 to 776 of the family's 1533-position model. The record is from RNAcentral.
UACGGAGGGGGCAAGCGUUGUCCGGAAUCACUGGGCGUAAAGGGCGCGUAGGCGGCUCAUGAAGGCUGUGGUGAAAGUCCGGGGCUCAACCUCGGAUCGGCCGUGGCGACUCGUGGGCUGGAGCACUGUAGAGGCGGGUGGAAUUCCCGGUGUAGCGGUGGAAUGCGUAGAGAUCCGGAAGAACACCAGUGGCGAAGGCGGCCCGCUGGGCAGUGGCUGACGCUGAGGCGCGACAGCGUGGGGAGCAAACGGG